RNAcentral lists this long non-coding RNA (1911 nucleotides) under Coffea arabica (coffee). RNAcentral's name for it is "long non-coding RNA (CARA_LNC005176)". Lineage: Eukaryota; Viridiplantae; Streptophyta; Magnoliopsida; Gentianales; Rubiaceae. The record is from RNAcentral.
GAUUAUUUUGGAAAUAUUAUUGAUAUGCCGUUGUUUUAAAUAUGCUAUACACAAAAAUUAUUUGUUUCUUUGCAGGUUGGAUUUGGAGUUGAACCCAUCGACCUUGAUCCUGUUGAUCAAGCUUCAGAAAAGCCUUCAAUUGAUCGGCCUUCAAAUAGCACCAUAAAGCCUUCAAUCGGAGUUGAACCCCAUUAAUCCUGAUCCUGUUGCUCAACCUUCAGAAAACAUAAUAAAGCCUUCAAUUGAUCAACCUUCAAAUGCCACAAUAAUACCCUCAAAUGGUACGAAAGAAGGCGAAGUCUCCACCAGUAGAAGGAAAAGGAGAAGAAAAGGGAUACCUCAUAGAUCUCCCCUGAAGUAGUUGGUUGAAUUGUGGUCACUACAGUUAAUCCUUUAUAUUUAGGAAAAUUUGCCAAAUUGGUCCCUAACAUUUACCAAAAACACUUUUUUAGUCCCUGACAUAUAAAAUCAGCCAAAAUGCUCCUUCACAUUUAAAUUGUGAGCCAAUUUGGUCCUAUUGCUCGUUUUUGCUCAUUUCUCCGGCUAAAAAUAGCACGUCCCUCUCACGUUGUCAUAUUUUUAGGGGCAAAACCGGAAACACAUUUCAUUACCGGUUGAAAGUAAAAGGAUAGGGGACCACCACCAAAAUACACAUUUUACCUUUGGCUCUCAAAUUACCCUUUACUCUCUAUGGAGCCACCGGAAAACGACGCCGUGGCUAUUGCAUCAGCUGAGAAAAUCAUCCUCCGCUGGGACUCCACAGCCUCCGAGGACGCCAGGGACAGAAUGAUCUUCGACGGCGAUCGAUAUGAGAUCGACAAAUACUUCCAAGCCGUGGAUGAAAUCCAACGGUCAAUGGAAUCCGCCAGCAUCUCAGACGACUCUGCUAAGGCCAACAGCGCGAUCCAGAUCACCAUGGCCCGCCUGGAAGACGAGUUUCGCAAUAUUAUCAUUGCUCAAACUUCCCCUCUCGAAGCCGACACUCUGACCGAUCCCAGCUCUUGUUCCUUCCGCUCCAUCGCUUCUAUUGGCAGCAGCGACGGCCACUUGAGCUUGCUGCCGCCGCCGCCGCCGUCCCUGCACACCGAGGAAGACGACUUCACCGAGACCAACUUGGCAAGUUUGGUAAAGAAAAUGUGAUCCUUCCAGGAAACUUAGCCUUUCUUUUCGUGUGAUUCCUUUGCCUAAAAGGGGCGGCUCAAGCAUCAUGUAUGGAAGGUGCACAAAGUAUUCAGGAUGCCACAAAAAACUUCACUCAUUCAGCGAAAUCUUCUCGCCAGAUCAGGGCAUAAAGCUUGUGAAUUCUCCAUUUUCCAAUCUAAGGGUGACCAUUCACUCUUAAGUUGAAUUGUCCAAUUUUCAAGAUUGAUUAUAACAAAAUUGUCCAUUCACUCUCAAAUCACCUUUGGCUCCAUAUGCUUGUUAAUUUGGGGAUGCAAAUAGGGUUUCUUGAAAGGGUAAUUUGAGAGCCAAAGGGAAAGGGUAAUUUGAGAGCUAAAGGUGAAAUGUGUAUUUUGGUGGUGGUCCCCUAUCCUUUACUUUCAACAGGUAAUGAAAUGUGUUUCCGGUUUUGCCCCUAAAAAUAUGACCACAUGAGAGGGGCGUGCUAUUUUUAGCCGGAGAAAUGAGCAAAAACGAGCAAUAGGACCAAAUUGGCUCACAAUUUAAAUGUGAAGGAGCAUUUUGGCUGAUUUUAUAUGUCAGGGACUAAAAAAGUGUUUUUGGUAAAUGUUAGGGUCCAAUUUGGCAAAUUUUCCUUAUAUUUACUUGGUUUGUUAAUCCUUUAUAUUUACUUGGUUUGUUAAUCCUUUAUAUUUACUUGGUUUAUCCUUUUAUAGUUAACAAUCAUUUUGUUCUGGUUAUUAUCUGAUGAUUUAUUUCUUCUAGUGAAGCACUAAUUACAAGCUGCCA